CUGUCACAGAAGGUGAGGUUUCCAAUAUCCCAGACGCUGAACCGGACUAUAUUUGAAGACACGGAAAUAAUACAACACUUAAAAGAAAGGAGGAUAAACUCUUUCCCAUCUUAUUAUCUUUUCAUUUGUGAUUAAAAGAAAAACAGGAUGGGUAUCAAACGGAUCAUAUCACUUUCCCUGAUUCUAAUAGUGGUAUCGACAACUGCCGAUGUAGCUGCAACAACAACUGCUUCACCUACGACUGCUGCACCCACAACUGCAACACCUACGACUGCUGCACCCACAACUGCAACACCUACGACUGCAGCACAUACGACUGCUGCACCCACAACUGUUGCACCUACGUCUGCUGCACCCACAACUGUUGCACAAACGACUGCUGCAUCCACAACUGCUUCACCUACGACUGCUGCACCCACAACUGCAACACCUACGACUGCUGCACUCACAACUGCUUCACCUACGACUGCUGCACCUACAACUGCUUCACCUACAACUGCAGCACAUACGACUGCAGCACCUACAACUGCUGCACCAACUGCUGCACCCACAACUGUUCCACCUACAACUGCUGCACCCACAACUGCUGCACCAACAACUGCAGCACAUACGACUGCAGCACCUACAACUGCUGCACCUACAACAACUUCACUGCAUUUAUUAAUGUGUUUAAUAAAUGCUGGCUAGGACAACCACACAAACGGCAGCAACUUUCCCUCUGCUUCAUUCUUUUCUCCUGUUCAACAGGCUUAUUAUCUGAUUACCAGCUCUGCACAGCAGACUUGCAACACUAGCAGCAGUGGAGAUGUAGCAUCAGCACCUGGAGAAUACAGCAACAACAACAAGGAUCCAUUUGAAGAUAGCUGCCUGGGCCUAGCAGCAAGAACCUCCAUCUGUGCCUGCACCCAGGUCAAGAUCUACCGUGGCUCAAGGGCCUUCACCAGAGCCAUCACCACCAAGGACCAGAGGACCAGCAUCACUACAGCAGCCUCCACCUCCAUCUGUGCCUGCCACAAGAUUAAGAUACACCUCGGUACAAAGGCCUCCACCACAGCCAUCACGAUCAACCCAGCCAGCAAAGAAGUCUCGCCUAGCACACCUCCCUCCCUCCGACACAGCCACCAGCAGCCCAUGCACCAUCACCCCCACCUACACAGCAGCCAGACCCACUGUCUUGGAAGACAGACAAAGACCAUGGCACUGCUCCCCCUGUCUUUACAUUUAUAAUGAAUAGUUGGUUGAGAAAGUUCUGAUAUUGUCAGGGUUCGUACAGUCAUUAAAAACCUGGAAAAGUCAUGGAAUGCAAUAUUUUUCCCAAAGUUUUGGAAAAGUCAUAGAAAUAUAACUAAAGUUGCAUCAAAUAUAAUUUAUAUGUUAUCUAAUCGCCGAAAUAGUAAUACUAUAAUGAUAAUAAAUACUGUAUCGUAUAAUGAAACGUAAAAUGGCAACUGUGGCAGUAUUUCGCUGGUGAGAGAUUUUUACAAUCACGCCCUCUAGUCUACAGGAGCUACUAUUUGAUAUAAAGAUGCCAGGGAAGUGCAGUUUCAACAAUGUAUGGCUUCUAAAGAAUAAGUACCAAUUGUGGUUAUCAAAAGACAUUGACCCAAGAUGUGCUAAAUGCAAACUGUGUUGUAACAUAUUCAAUAUUUCGAAUAUGGGCGAGGCAGCGCAUGCUAGCCACAUGAUAGUCAUUGUUUUGGUCAUGGAAAAGUCAUUUAAAAUCAUUGGUGAAAAAGUGUAUGAACCCUGUAUUGUAAAUAUUGAGAUGUUACAGUUUCUUACAGUAUGUUAACAUAAAUAGUUGGUCGAAAAAAAAA
Long non-coding RNA from Gymnodraco acuticeps, 1817 nucleotides. RefSeq lists it as uncharacterized. The transcript is spliced from 4 exons. The record is from RefSeq and is a predicted model, not a curated record. Lineage: Eukaryota; Metazoa; Chordata; Actinopteri; Perciformes; Bathydraconidae.